This 423-nucleotide ribosomal RNA is filed under the name uncultured eukaryote. Its description in RNAcentral is "bacterial SSU rRNA". It matches the Rfam family "Eukaryotic small subunit ribosomal RNA", at positions 592 to 1017 of the family's 1831-position model. The record is from RNAcentral.
CAAUAGCGUAUAUUAAAGUUGUUGCAGUUAAAAGCUCGUAGUUGGAUUUCUGGUUGGAGCGACCGGUCGGGCAUUGAUUUGUCUGCACUGGAGUCGGUUCUGGCCAUCCUCUUGGAAAGUGCGUCUGUCAUUAAGUUGUCGGGCGUAUGAUCCAGGUCUUUUACUGUGAAAAAUUAGAGUGUUCAAAGCAGGCUUCGCCUUGAAUAUGUUAGCAUGGAAUAAUGACAUAGGACUUUGGUUCUAUUUGUUGGUUGUUCGAGAACUAGAGUAAUGAUUGAUAGGGACGGUUGGGGGGCAUACGUAUUCCGGGGCGAGAGGUGAAAUUCUUGGACCCCCGGAAGACGAACCGCUGCGAAAGCGUUUGCCUAGGACGUUCUCUUUAAUCAAGAACGAAAGUUGGGGGUCGAAGAUGAUCAGAUACCA